RNAcentral lists this transfer RNA (73 nucleotides) under Acanthoscelides obtectus. It matches the Rfam family "tRNA". Rfam says of the family: Transfer RNA (tRNA) molecules are approximately 80 nucleotides in length. Lineage: Eukaryota; Metazoa; Arthropoda; Insecta; Coleoptera; Chrysomelidae. The record is from Rfam by way of RNAcentral.
GGUGUUGUAGACUAACUGGUUAGGUCGGCUCCAUGGAAUGGAGGAGAUGCGAGUUCGAAUCCCACUGGCACCC